RNAcentral lists this ribosomal RNA (634 nucleotides) under uncultured Marinobacter sp. Its description in RNAcentral is "bacterial SSU rRNA". It matches the Rfam family "Bacterial small subunit ribosomal RNA", at positions 870 to 1504 of the family's 1533-position model. Lineage: Bacteria; Pseudomonadati; Pseudomonadota; Gammaproteobacteria; Pseudomonadales; Marinobacteraceae. The record is from RNAcentral.
CACCUGGGGAGUGCGGCCGCAAGGUUAAAACUCAAAUGAAUUGACGGGGGCCCGCACAAGCGGUGGAGCAUGUGGUUUAAUUCGACGCAACGCGAAGAACCUUACCUGACCUCGACAUGCAGAGAACUUUCCAGAGAUGGAUUGGUGCCUUCGGGAACUCUGACACAGGUGCUGCAUGGCCGUCGUCAGCUCGUGUCGUGAGAUGUUGGGUUAAGUCCCGUAACGAGCGCAACCCCUAUCCCUAGUUGCUAGCAGUUCGGCUGAGAACUCUAGGGAGACUGCCGGUGACAAACCGGAGGAAGGUGGGGAUGACGUCAGGUCAUCAUGGCCCUUACGGCCAGGGCUACACACGUGCUACAAUGGUGCGCACAGAGGGCUGCAAACCCGCGAGGGGGAGCCAAUCUCACAAAACGCAUCGUAGUCCGGAUCGCAGUCUGCAACUCGACUGCGUGAAGUCGGAAUCGCUAGUAAUCGUGAAUCAGAAUGUCACGGUGAAUACGUUCCCGGGCCUUGUACACACCGCCCGUCACACCAUGGGAGUGGAUUGCACCAGAAGUGGUUAGUCUAACCUUCGGGAGGACGAUCACCACGGUGUGGUUCAUGACUGGGGUGAAGUCGUAACAAGGUAACCGUA